UACUUCGCAGAGUUGUAGGCACAGAGAAAGCACUCAUUGACCACUUACUGAACAGAAUGCAAAAAAAUAUUCAAGCGGUAACUUGAAACUUGGCCACUUAUUUAUGAGUGUUGAGUGAAAAAGAUAGGCCAAAGCUAAAUUACCCUAAAUGCAAACCCAGAUGAUGAGUAUGAUGAAGCACAUUCUGAAUGCAGGAAGCCAGGGCUUGUUGAAGAAAGAAGCAGUACAAAGUUUCCCAGCUUCAGACUUCUGCCAGCCUACAGCUGCUUUUCACCAGGCCCCCUGACAUAGCCACGGCUAAGCAGUCUCUGAAGGAUUUCCUGAAAGGUCAUACGAACAUGUCUUCCUCAGUUCACCAACAUGACCUGGGAGCCUGCCACGUGCCAAGCUCUCUGUGAGGCAAAAAGACUGAGCCAGGAGUAACUCAAAGUUCUCAGACGUUCCCCUCUGAGCCUUGUCUUUCUUGUAACAUCCAGCUAACUGAAGGCCUAAGCAUUUUCCAAACUGCCCCAAUCCAAUGGGGACUUCAUGGAGGCUAGCCACUUGGGGCUCUUCACACAGGACCCCUGACUAUCCAGAGAGACCGACUCCUCUGGACUGGGCUGGGUUUUCCUGUGGAGUCCACACAUGCAUCAUGGAGAGAGGCAGGAGACACGUACCUCGCCUGCCUGGUCAGAAGCACACAUUACUACAAGCCUUAUUCUGUUUCUUCCUUCCAGAGUGAAAUCUAAAAUAAAAUAUCAAUCUAAAAUCCUUUUGGAAAAUUCUGUCUAUCCGACUCUAAUAGUCAGAAUAAGAAUAUGAGGUAUAUAGGUCAAGUUAUUUAAAACAGUCAAUUUAUAACAUCCAUAUACUUUAUCAGGCACCCAGAGGAGGAGAAAUUUGUAGGCACCUAAGUGCUGUAGAUAAGGUCAACAUAGGGAGAUAAGGGAAGGACUCAAGUCCACCUUCCCUAGAAAAGGGCCACAGUAAAGAUUGAAGUAACUGUUUCAGUUACUUUUAUAUCCCAAAACCUUGCAAGGAGCCUAAUGCACUUAGUAGCUGUAACAUGGGUGGAUGGAUGGAUAGAUGCAAGGAUGGGAGAAUGAACUGAAAAGCUGAGGCUUGGAGGUAAGCAGUUAGAAACUUUGGAAAAUGGGUGAAAAAGAAAGUCUUCCCAAAGGAUGCACCUGAAAUCCCUUUUUGACUGAUGGAAUGAGAAGAGAGAUAGACAGCUGUGUGCACUGACUCCUCAUCUCCUUAGCAAAUGUCCUGGCUCACCUCGUGCUGGUUUCCCUCCUUCCAGUGACUGUACAGCCCCAAUAAGAUGCUCAAGAGCUGGGAAUUUCUGGGGCCCCACUCCCACUAUCCCAGUGGGAGUCAGACAGGAGAGUACAAGUUGUGUAUACCUGGGCCAAGUACACCCGGAGGUUUGUCCUGAGAAAUACCCUGAAACAAUUCUUAUUUUUUAGCUUGAUAACACCAAUCUUGGAUUUGGGCGAUUUAAUUUUCAUUCCUGGACUGAAGAUGCUUGUCAUCUUGAGGUUUCAUCCAUGUCUCUUUCCAUGUAAACUUCAGGGUGACAAGGCCAUCUCUGUUUGGCAGAGCUAAAAAGUACCCUAUUCUGAAAAGCAGAGGAACUUGAGCAGCUUCCUUUGCCCAAAUGACUCCACAUUCUCUUCUUCAAAGACUCC
Long non-coding RNA from Manis javanica (Malayan pangolin), 1673 nucleotides. RefSeq lists it as uncharacterized. The record is from RefSeq and is a predicted model, not a curated record. NCBI's taxonomy places the organism in Eukaryota, Metazoa, Chordata, Mammalia, Pholidota, Manidae.